AAAUGUCUCACUUGAACCUAAACUAACAGAUAUUCGCUGCGUACCUUUGUAGAACCUCUGGCCACAGAGCAAAGAAUUCAGAAGCACCCAUAGGUGAUGCACACUUUAGAUUCAUCGGAGAGCUCCGUUGUUCCACUGAGGUGUACCAUUUGGGAUUUUGUUGAUUUGAGUCCUACAGCUGAUUCUGACAAGAGGCUCUGGUCUUCUCCCUCAUGAGAUGGAUCACGUGAGAGCUUGUGCUGAAUUUGAAACUCACGUUCAUGUUUUCCACUAGCUGGCUGUAGUAACACUCACAAAAAGAAAAAGUCUGCAACCUUGCUGCAUCAGAAUCCUUGCCUCAGCUCGUUAUUGAUCCACAUGAACUAAUGCAUAUG
Molecule: long non-coding RNA, 374 nt
Organism: Ornithorhynchus anatinus (platypus)
Lineage: Eukaryota; Metazoa; Chordata; Mammalia; Monotremata; Ornithorhynchidae
Exons: 3
Source: RefSeq, a predicted model, not a curated record